UACGGAAGGCAGCAGGGGGAAUAUUGCACAAUGGGCGAAAGCCUGAUGCAGCUAUGCCGCGUGUAUGAAGAAGGCCUUAGGGUUGUAAAGUACUUUCAUCGGGGAGGAAAAAACAAAACUAAUAAUUUUAUUUCUUGACGUUACCCGAAAAAGAAGCACCGGCUAACUCCGUGCCAGCAGCCGCGGUAAUACGGAGGGUGCUAGCGUUAAUCAGAAUUACUGGGCGUAAAGAGCACGUAGGUGGUUUUUUUAAAGUCAGAUGUGAAAUCCCUGGGCUUAACCUGGAACUGCAUUUUGAAACUGAAAUACUAGAGUAUCGUAGAGGGAGGUAGAAUUCUAGGUGUAGCGGUGAAAUGCGUAGAUAUCUGGAGGAAUACCUGUGGCGAAAGCGGCCUCCUAAACGAAUACUGACACUGAGGUGCGAAAGCGUGGGGAGCAAACAGGGAUUAGAUACC
This 455-nucleotide ribosomal RNA is filed under the name uncultured bacterium. RNAcentral's name for it is "bacterial SSU rRNA". It matches the Rfam family "Bacterial small subunit ribosomal RNA", at positions 340 to 786 of the family's 1533-position model. The record is from RNAcentral.